RNAcentral lists this ribosomal RNA (229 nucleotides) under Giardia duodenalis. RNAcentral's name for it is "Giardia intestinalis partial 18S ribosomal RNA". The record is from RNAcentral. Lineage: Eukaryota; Fornicata; Diplomonadida; Hexamitidae.
ACGAAGCCAUGCAUGCCCGCUCACCCGGGACGCGGCGGACGGCUCAGGACAACGGUUGCACCCCCCGCGGCGGUCCCUGCUAGCCGGACACCGCUGGCAACCCGGCGCCAAGACGUGCGCGCAAGGGCGGGCGCCCGCGGGCGAGCAGCGUGACGCAGCGACGGCCCGCCCGGGCUUCCGGGGCAUCACCCGGUCGGCGCGGUCGCGGCGCGCCGAGGGCCCGACGCCU